AUACGGGGGGUGCAAGCGUUAUUCGGAUUUAUUGGGCGUAAAGGGCGCGUAGGCGGCUUGGAAAGUCAGAUGUGAAAGCCCGGGGCUCAACCCCGGAAGUGCAUUUGAAACUAUCAGGCUUGAGUAUGGGAGAGGGAAGUGGAAUUCCUGGUGUAGAGGUGAAAUUCGUAGAUAUCAGGAGGAACACCGGUGGCGAAGGCGACUUCCUGGACCAAUACUGACGCUGAGGCGCGAAGGCGUGGGGAGCAAACAGGAUUAGAAACCCUAGUAGUCC
This 274-nucleotide ribosomal RNA is filed under the name uncultured bacterium. RNAcentral describes it as "partial 16S ribosomal RNA". It matches the Rfam family "Bacterial small subunit ribosomal RNA", at positions 523 to 796 of the family's 1533-position model. The record is from RNAcentral.